UUCAGUUUUUUAACAAUUGUCUCAUGGAUUCGUAGUAUAGCGUUACUUAAUAACAAUUAUAAACUGUAAAAUAUAAAUAUUUUAUAAAAAUAAAAUUUGCAAGUUU
This 106-nucleotide small RNA is filed under the name Arabidopsis thaliana (thale cress). RNAcentral describes it as "ATSL161370". Lineage: Eukaryota; Viridiplantae; Streptophyta; Magnoliopsida; Brassicales; Brassicaceae. The record is from RNAcentral.